Dalotia coriaria is the source of this 4304-nucleotide long non-coding RNA. RefSeq lists it as uncharacterized. The transcript has 2 exons. Lineage: Eukaryota; Metazoa; Arthropoda; Insecta; Coleoptera; Staphylinidae. The record is from RefSeq and is a predicted model, not a curated record.
GUUUUUAGAAUAAUACGUGAAUGCGAUAUCACAAUAAGUUCGGAAUAAUUUUCCCAGAUGCAGAAUUUAAUUCUGUUUCUCUCUGUUCUGAAAUUUAUUGCAAGAAAAUUCCGUAACGCGAGUUAUAUUGAAAGUUGUAUGUGUGCGCCGUAGUACUCGUUGCGCUAGGAAUUGUAGUUUUUUUAGUAUAACACGCGAACGCGGUGUCACAAUAAGUUCGGAAUAAUUAUCCCAGAUGCAGAAUUUAUUUCUGUUUCCCCCUGUUCUGAAUUUUAUUGUAAGAAAAUUCCGUAACGCGAGUUAUGUUGAAAGUUGUGUGUGUGCGCCGUAAUACUCGUUGAGCUAGGAAUCAAGGCACCGUAUGAAGGUAGCGGUAGAAGUGACUUGUGUUCAGGGCACCGUAUGCCGUAAUGCGAGUUAUAUUGAAAGAUGUGUGUGUGCGCUGUAGUACCCAAAUCGCUAGGAAUUGUAGUUUUUUUAGUAUAACACACGAACGCGAUGUCACAAUAGGUUUGGAAUAAUUUUCCCAGAUGCAAAAUUUAUUUCUGUAUUUCCUUUUAUUAAAAGUUAUUGCGGGAAAAUUCCGUAACACGAGCUAUAUUGAAAGUUGUGUGUGUGCGUCGUAAUACUCGCUGCGCUAGGAAUCAGGGCACCGUAUGAGGGUAGCGGUAGAAGUGACUCGUGUUCAGGGCACCGUAUUCCGUAAUGCGAGUUAUAUUGAAAGAUGUGUGUGUGCGCUGUAGUACUCGAUGCGCUAGAAAUUGUAGUUUUUUUUAGUAUAACACAACGCGAUGUUGUGUGUGUGUGCCGUAGUACUCGUAGCGCUAGGAAUUGUAGUUUUUUUAGAAUAAAACGCGGACGCGGUAUCACAAUAAGUUCGGAAUAAUUUUUCCAGAUACAGAAUUUAAUUCUGUAUUUUCCUGUAUUGAAAUUUAUUGCGAGAAAAUUCCGUAACGCGAGCUAUAUUGAAAGUUGUGUGUGUGCGCCGUAGUACUCGUUGCGCUAGGAAUUGUAGUGUUUUUAGAAUAAUACGUGAAUGCGAUAUCACAAUAAGUUCGGAAUAAUUUUCCCAGAUGCAGAAUUUAAUUCUGUUUCUCUCUGUUCUGAAAUUUAUUGCAAGAAAAUUCCGUAACGCGAGUUAUAUUGAAAGUUGUAUGUGUGCGCCGUAGUACUCGUUGCGCUAGGAAUUGUAGUUUUUUUAGUAUAACACGCGAACGCGAUGUCCCAAUAAGUUCGAAAUAAUUUUCCCAGAUGCAGAAUUUAAUUCUGUAUCUCCCUGUAUUGAAACUUAUUGCGAGAAAAUUCCGUAACGCGGGUUAUAUUGAUAGUUGUGUGUAUACACACUUGUACUCGUUGCGCAGUACCGGCGUUAGGGCAUGGCGCAGUUGGGCGACCGCCUAGGGGCGCCGACUUGCACUUGGUCAGUUUUUAUGUAUGGGUUUGAAUUGCAGUUAGGGGGCGCCGUAGAAAUCUCACCCAGGGCGCUGGUAGUGCUAAAACCUGCACUGCAUAAAAUAUAAUACAUAAACCAUAAAUAUAUGAGCCGUUUAUUUUGAAAGUGACCUAACUCCGUUUUUCAAUUUUUUUACCGGUUACCAUGGUUACAUGUACAACUUCAUGUUAUUUAUCAGUGACACACGUCAGAUUGCUUAUAUUCAGAGAAAAUACGGUAUAUUUUUUACACAUAAGUUUUCCGAAUUAAUGGAAUAACUGAGACGUGUAGUUUGAAAGUGGCCUAACUCCAUUUAUAGUUACAUCAAGAUAUUUACUAUUGAUAAUGUCGGAAAGCAGCGAUGACGAAAUUAUUGCACCCAUGAGGACAAACAGAAGAAGACCACUUAGUUCAGAUAGUGAAGAAGAAAUAGUAAUUAAUAAUUUAAAAAAAAAGCGUAUAAGAAAAAGAGUUAUAGAACAAUAUUCCUCGUCAGAGGAUGAAGAUUCAAAUAACAAUGGAGAAAAGAUUGAUGCACCAUAUAUCCAAAAACUGCGAAAGAUUAAACGGAAUUCAGGAAAAAGAUAUUGCACUCAAACAGGAAGUAUUGUUCAUGAAAAAAAAAAUUCGUAAACAAAGAUUGUGGUUGUCGUAAUGCGUGCACAAAAAAUUUUAAUGAAGAAGAAAGAAACAAUAUUUUUGAGAAGUUUUGGGGUUUGGCAGAUUUUAACAAACAAAAUGUAUUACUUCACGAAGCUGUCUGUGAAACGAAGACGUUUUUUUUUCAAUUUGAAACAUCUUAAAUUAUGUUGAAUGGAUUUGGGCAUCUUCAAAUUUUAUAAUGACUCUGGCUGUUAAUUUUGAAAGUGGCCCAACUCCAUUCUUGAUAAGGAAACGCACGUUAUUUACUUAACAAUUGCCACUAUUUUAACUGGAACUUUAAAUUUAACAUCCUUAGAUACGCUUAAGUAGUAUGACUCCUUAGUAUCUUAUACGUAUAUUUUUAAAUUCAUUGAAACGCAAAACUUUCAAUAUCUCGAUUUGACGAUAAAUGGAGUUAGGCCACUUUCAAAAUAAGCGGCUCAUAUAAAGUUUCAUAUUUGUUUUUAUGAAAUUAAUAUAAUAACUUAUAUAAUUAUUUAUUUCAAUUUUACGAUGCGUAGUGUUAUAAAUGUAUCACUAAGGUAUACAGUAAACUUUUACGAAGACUCAAUCUUAUUAUAUCCCAGAGCCAAUAAAUUCUUUUCGUAUGCCGUGAAAUAUUGAAAGUAAAAGUCAAUUUCUUAUAUGUGUAUUUCAACAUUGUGAAUUUUUAGUUUCGUCUUCUCAACUACGUGUUUAUCAGUACGUUUGGGUAUAAACAACUUUUUUUGUUUGACCGACCCGGCUACGCGCAGCGCACACGGCAGUUGUUUCACCGCGUGGUCCGCGAGCGUGUCUCUCUAAUCGCCACGCGUUUUGAGGUUUUAAUUGGAUUAAUCGUCGUGUAUUCUUUCGUCCAUCGGCAAAAUAAUCGCAAUGAGCAUGUGUACCUGUUUUGUUUAAUGAUUUAUCGUGGUUAGAGUCUUCUUAAGUGAGAAAUAAGUGACCGUUAAUGCCUGCGGGAGUUUUCAGUUGAUAGACUAUAUUACAGGAUAGAAAAUCUUCUCAUCAAUGCACAGGUAGGCGGAUAAUUAAAAUUUUUUGCGGAAAAUUAAGGCGGUUUAACUUAAAUUGAGUAUUCAAUUUGAGGGAUAUUAAUAUUGUAGAUUACAAACACAUGGUGGCAUUUUUAUCAGAAUUCUUCUUAGUCGCGUUUCUGAAAAUAACAUGCUUGAUUUAAUUAUAACAAGCACGGUUUUUAAAAUUAUCUGACGAUUAUUAAAAUGACAAUAUUCAUGUGGUCGACCACGCUUACUUUGCCGUCGGUCGUCGGUUCGGUCAUGUUUUCGAUGAUCACGUAAACAUUUUUUAUCGAAUGGCAUCAUGAAAUGAAUAAUUUUUUGUGGAAGUAAAAUCUUGAACGGUGAAUAGUUUUUCGUUUUCGCAGCCUCAGUAUAUCUUAAUAUUUACAAAGAAAUAGUUAUUUUUAUCGUCUUUAACCACUGUGUUGCUACGCACCGUCGCUUGCCGUCGGUUGAUUUACGUGUAGAUGUUUUCCGCCGGAUAUUCCAUUAAUUUAUGAUGAUGCUACACCCGUCGGUUACCUUAUACAGUUGAUGCUAUCAUCAAUUGAUAAUUAUAUAUUCACAAUAUAUUAAAAUGUAAGUGUUUUAUUUUUGGGCUAAAAUCUCUGAUUUUAUAUUAAAAUAUUGUUAUUAAUCUGUAAAUUUCCCUCUUCAUAUUGUGAAUAUUAACUCCCUUUGCAGUUUCUAAAAUUUUCUUUUUGUAACACCCUGUAUAUUAGUUUUCCGAACAGCACGUAGAAAAUUACCUUUAGUUGUGAGUUUUGAGUGUUUUCUGUUUUGAACAUGAAAUUUUCUUUCUAAAACACUCUGUUCAUAUGUUUUCCUUUGUGUCCGUGAAAAUUUUACUUUAGCUGUUGUUUUUAGGAUUUUCCCAUUUGCACUUUAAAUUUUUUUUCUGGAACACCCUGUAUAUUAGUUUCCCUGAUCGUCGAGUGAAAACGAGCGGCGUUUGUAGUAUUGAGUUUUUUGUUUGCACUUUAAAUUUACCUUUUGUAACACCCUGUAUAUUUGUUUCCAUUUUCAAUCACCUAGAAAAUUGGCUAUUUACUAAUUUCAUUAUUUCGGUAGGACAUUAUGAAGUAGUAUUUGUUGGCAUGUGCGCGACUAUGCAGGUCGUAAGUCUUGUUUCAAUAUGGCGACCUGUAUUUUGUUGACUUGUAAAAUCUAAACUUGUAUUUUAUUGUUAAUAAAUAAAUAGUAAGAUA